CCUACGGGAGGCAGCAGUGGGGAAUAUUGCACAAUGGGGGAAACCCUGAUGCAGCGACGCCGCGUGAGUGAGGAAGUAUUUCGGUAUGUAAAGCUCUAUCAGCAGGGAAGAAAAUUCCGGUACCUGACUAACAAGCCCCGGCUAACUACGUGCCAGCAGCCGCCGUAAUACGUAGGGGGCAAGCGUUAUCAGGAUUUACUGGGGGUAAAGGGAGCGUAGACGGAAUUGCAAGUCUGAUGUGAAAAUCCGGGGCCAAACGCCGGAACUGCAUUUGAAACUGUAUUGCUAGAGUGUCGGAGAGGAAAGUGGAAGUCCUGGUGUAGCGGUGAAAUGCGUAGAUAUCAGGAGGAACACCAGUGGCGAAGGCGGCUUGCUGGACGAUGACUGACGUUGAGGCUCGAAAGCGUGGGGAGCAAACAGGAUUAGAUACCCGUGUAGUC
Molecule: ribosomal RNA, 440 nt
Filed under: uncultured bacterium
Lineage: Bacteria
Description: partial 16S ribosomal RNA
Rfam family: Bacterial small subunit ribosomal RNA
Source: RNAcentral